RNAcentral lists this ribosomal RNA (245 nucleotides) under uncultured bacterium. Its description in RNAcentral is "partial 16S ribosomal RNA". It matches the Rfam family "Bacterial small subunit ribosomal RNA", at positions 524 to 768 of the family's 1533-position model. The record is from RNAcentral.
AACGUAGGUACCGAGCGUUAUCCGGAUUUACUGGGCGUAAAGCGCGUUCAGGCGGUUUGGCAAGUCGGGCAUGAAAUCCUUCGGCUCAACCGGGGGAGGUUGUCCGAUACUGCUGAACUGGAGGGCAGUAGAGGGUGGUGGAAUUCCGGGUGUAGUGGUGAAAUGCGUAGAGAUCCGGAGGAACACCAGUGGCGAAAGCGGCCACCUGGACUGUACCUGACGCUCAAACGCGAAAGCUAGGGGAG